AGUGAACGCUGGCGGUAGGCCUAACACAUGCAAGUCGAACGGCAGCACAGUAAGAGCUUGCUCUUACGGGUGGCGAGUGGCGGACGAGUGAGGAAUACAUCGGAAUCUACUUUUUCGUGGGGGAUAACGUAGGGAAACUUACGCUAAUACCGCAUACGACCUACGGGUGAAAGCAGGGGAUCUUCGGACCUUGCGCGAUUGAAUGAGCCGAUGUCGGAUUAGCUAGUUGGCGGGGUAAAGGCCCACCAAGGCGACGAUCCGUAGCUGGUCUGAGAGGAUGAUCAGCCACACUGGAACUGAGACACGGUCCAGACUCCUACGGGAGGCAGCAGUGGGGAAUAUUGGACAAUGGGCGAAAGCCUGAUCCAGCAAUACCGCGUGGGUGAAGAAGGCCUUCGGGUUGUAAAGCCCUUUUGUUGGGAAAGAAAAGCAGCAGGUUAAUACCCCGCUGUUCUGACGGUACCCAAAGAAUAAGCACCGGCUAACUUCGUG
Molecule: ribosomal RNA, 492 nt
Filed under: uncultured bacterium
Lineage: Bacteria
Description: partial 16S ribosomal RNA
Rfam family: Bacterial small subunit ribosomal RNA
Source: RNAcentral